This 463-nucleotide ribosomal RNA is filed under the name Bacillus licheniformis. RNAcentral's name for it is "bacterial SSU rRNA". It matches the Rfam family "Bacterial small subunit ribosomal RNA", at positions 22 to 473 of the family's 1533-position model. The record is from RNAcentral. Lineage: Bacteria; Bacillati; Bacillota; Bacilli; Caryophanales; Bacillaceae.
GGUCAGGACGAACGCUGGCGGCGUGCCUAAUACAUGCAAGUCGAGCGGACCGACGGGAGCUUGCUCCCUUAGGUCAGCGGCGGACGGGUGAGUAACACGUGGGUAACCUGCCUGUAAGACUGGGAUAACUCCGGGAAACCGGGGCUAAUACCGGAUGCUUGAUUGAUCCGCAUGGUUCAAUCAUAAAAGGUGGCUUUUAGCUACCACUUACAGAUGGACCCGCGGCGCAUUAGCUAGUUGGUGAGGUAACGGCUCACCAAGGCGACGAUGCGUAGCCGACCUGAGAGGGUGAUCGGCCACACUGGGACUGAGACACGGCCCAGACUCCUACGGGAGGCAGCAGUAGGGAAUCUUCCGCAAUGGACGAAAGUCUGACGGAGCAACGCCGCGUGAGUGAUGAAGGUUUUCGGAUCGUAAAACUUCUGUUGUUAGGGAAGAACAAGUACCGUUCGAAUAGGCGCAC